CUUGAAACACGGACCAAGGAGUUUAGCGUGUACGCAAGUCAUUGGGUAAAGAAAACUCAAAGGCGAAAUGAAAGUAAAUAGUGGAACAUUGAUAUUUAAAAAUUUAUUUUUAUUUAUUAAUUUCCCUAUAGGGAAGAUGGAUAACUAAAUUAAUAAUGUUUUUUAUAGUAUUUUAUACUAUUUUUAAUGUUUUUAAUAAAAGUAUCCCGCAUUCCCGGGGCGCUUGUUUCUGGCUUUGCUAGUCACUGCGCACCUAGAGCGUACACGCUGAUACCCGAAAGAUGGUGAACUAUGCCUGGCCAGGACGAAGCCAGGGGAAACCCUGGUGGAGGUCCGCAGCGAUUCUGACGUGCAAAUCGAUCGUCGGAGCUGGGUAUAGGGGCGAAAGACCAAUCGAACCAUCUAGUAGCUGGUUCCCUCUGAAGUUUCCCUCAGGAUAGCUUGCGCUCAAUGAUACGAGUCUCAUCCGGUAGAGCGAAUGAUUAGAGGCAUUGGGGUCGAAACGACCUCAACCUAUUCUCAAACUCCAAAUAGAUGAGAACCACGGCUUUCUUAAAAAUGAAGCCGUGGGAUUAGGAUCAGAGUGCCAAGUGGGCCAAUUUUGGUAAGCAGAACUGGCGCU
Molecule: ribosomal RNA, 622 nt
Filed under: Reduviidae cf. Ploiaria sp. JZ-2016
Lineage: Eukaryota; Metazoa; Arthropoda; Insecta; Hemiptera; Reduviidae
Description: eukaryotic LSU rRNA
Rfam family: Eukaryotic large subunit ribosomal RNA
Source: RNAcentral